UCAUAAGAUAUAUAGCCCCAAUAGAUAACUGUAAUGACACAAGGGAUGAGAACCUGAGAAUUCAAUGAAUCCAAAGGUUCCACGGAGUAACCAGCAUACAUAUCUGCACAUUUAAAAUGUAAAUGAAUCAAAUGUCUCAAUUCCAGCUUCACAUGAUGCAUUCUGAAUACGAGCAGAUGGCUUGAGGAGAGGCACAGAAUCAUCAACUCUGAUUGCUCUCAAUUGUUUUGGAAGGAGUACAUCAGUGCAGACCAGCAUCUUUCCAGGUGGCCGGUUAACUUUACUUGAUAUUGAGAAGAACACUUACACCAUGCCUCCAAAAAAGAAAUCCAAGGUCACUGUCUCUUCAUCUACUACAGCGUUUGAUUGAAGACGAUUCAUUAGUCUCGAAGCAAUGGACCGUUAUAAACAAAGUGUGAUACAUCGGAAUUGCAUUCCUGAGAGGGGCCUUGAAAAUUUUUUUGCCAAAUAAAAUACACAGUUUGGGAUGGGAGAAGUUUACCAAGCAACCUAAAGCUGCAUCCAUUCCUUUGGUGAAAGAAUUUUAUGCCAAUGCUAAUGAAUACAAGAACUUCAAAGUUUUUGUUCGGAGGUUUUGGAUCAAGUUUGAUAGUGCUUCAAUUAAUAGGUUCUACCACUUCCCUUCCUCUGGUCUGAUACUUAGCUUUAAAAUUUGGCACCACUUCAUAUCAUCCAAACUGAUCCCCAGUAGUAACACCAGCGAAGUCACCAAGGAACGGGCCUUACUGAAUUUUGUUAUUUAGAAUGGGUAUUCUAUUGAUGUUAGCAUAGUCAUUCAAAACAGCAUUCUUCGCAUCCCAGUCGGGCCAGCUACAGGUAGUUUGGGUCACUCCUCUUUGAUCCAUGACCUUUGCAUACACGGGGGUGUUCCCGUGCGAGAAACUAGUGAAGUCUUACACCCGAAAUAACCACUUACACGGGAACUCCGUGAUAGGCAUGUGGGACAUCGGGACGUGCCUGAUUCUUCUCAAUCAUCUCGUCCUUUACCUCCUACACCACCGCCUCCACAACCUUCUGAUGCUACGGGGGACAUCCUUCGGCAUCUUGAAGCCAUGGAUUUGCGCAUGACCCGAUGGCAGGAUGGCAUGCAAGUACAAAUGAAUCAUCUACAAUCCACCAUCUUUGACUAGUUUCAUUAUCAGAGUGCUUGCAUGGCGGUCAUGACAUCUGCACACCCCGAGCUCACCUUCCCCCCACCGUCAUCGUUUCCACCUAAUUCACACCCUCCCGCUCCACUUGAUGGCGAUGAAGACAGUUGAUGUCUUCCCCGAGGUAUUUCUCUUCCCUUUCUUUCAAUUUCACAUUGAGGGCAAUAUGUUGUUUAAGUUUGGGGGUGUCUUACUUUCACUUAGUUGUUAGUUGGGUCUAACAUUUUCUUUAUUGUUUUUGUUGUGUUGCAUUAGUGUUCCAAGUAUGUUGUGCGUGUUAAUUUACUGUGUGAAAAAAAAUUUAAAAAAAAUUUUGCAUUAUUUUAUUUCACAUGCUUGUAUGAGUUGAAUAACAUUAUUAGCAAUGAUGAAUAUAUUUGGAAUGUGGAUCAGUUGUGGAUUAUGGAUGAGUUAGUUGCUUGAAUUAAAGUGUUACUUACCCUUGCAGAUUAUUGUAACAUUUAUGCACGUGAAUUGAAUAUAGCGGCAAACAAGAAUGAGUUGAUUCAUAAUUAGAUUUAGGCUGAAUUAAUGACCCUAGAAAUUGAAUCCAAACAGCCACUUGUAUAAUAGUAUUCACAUCCCUUAACCUACCUUAGGAUAGUUUGGAUGGGCAAACUGUUGUAGGAAAGCAUGGACGUGGGUGUGGAUUCCUUGUGUGCCAAAUUCUGUGUGGAUUGUCUGAGACCAAUGAGAUGAAAAUUGAGUAAACACUUUUAGUUAAAGGCCAAUUUUCGAGAAUAUGUGUUUAAUAAGGGGCAUUGCACUAAUUAAAAAAAAAAAUCCCUAUGAAGACAACCUUAAAAAGCUUAUUGUGAAGCGUCUCUUCGUAACAUUUAUGACUUGAGUGAUUAAGCCUGUAAGGGUUUAAAACCUGAUGCCCUAAAGUCGUUUGGCUUGGGAGUCAUUGGCCUAAAGCUCGCUAUAUGGGUCAUUUAGAAAGCUUAAGGGAGGGACAAUCGCACAAAGAUUAGUUAAAAGAAAAGUCGUUUUUAAGCUUAAUUAAGCCUUGAACACCUGUUUUAAAGGAGUAGGCUUUUGGCAAAGGGUUAGUAACUUGGUUGAUUCUUGGAGGUUGAAGCAGUCAAAAAUAGGAGAAUUCAUACUUACCGAUAUGUCGAACUACAAUUAGUAAAUUCCAACCAAAUUUUAGAGGUGUAAGAAAUUAGUAUUGAAAAUCAACUUUACGUACACCUUGGGAAGAAAAGAGAAAAUAAGUUUGGGGAUGUGUGAAUCCCACAAGCGAAGUAAGGAGAUAAUUGACUUCUGAGGGCGGGAGUUGAAUCAACAUACGAAUGUCUGGCGUUAUAUUCGAUUCUUCACACACGCACGCAUAUGAUCUGUAAUGGGUGGGUAAGGAGCUACCUUUUGCAAAAUAACUUUGAAAUACUUCAUAAACUCGAUCUCACAUUUCAAUGUUGAGCAAUAAAAACAUGUUGUCCAACUAAAUUAUGCAUUUAAAUUCUUUGGCAGCAUUUGUGUUUGUGUUUGGUAAUUAUUGUUUAUUAAUUGUGUUUGCUUGAGGACAAGCAAAGAACUAAGUUUGGGGGAGUUUGAUGAGUGUAAUUCACUCAUUAAACAUACGCCUCUAAAUCACGGGUUUUAGUUUGUUCUUGAGCACUUUUGAACGUUUUGAUGUGUGUGUUCGUGUUAUCUUGCAGCUAAAUCAACAUUCGAGAAAACACCAUAAUUAGGAGCUUGUGAUGAAUCUAAAUGGUGGUCAUAAAAUGGGGGCAUAAAUUAGAGAUAAGAAAAGAAGAUUACAAUGGAAAAUAAGUUUAGAAGGUGAAUGAUUCAAGCAAGAAGCAGCUUGUUAGGUGCCACGACGUGGCGGCCAACAAAAGGAGAAAGUCAGCAGGAAGCUAGGCGCCACGGCGCCCAGCGUGAAAACAAGAAGCAGAACAGCUGCUACCGUGGUGCCAGACUUGGGCGCCAAGGCGCCAGAACCCAAUCACAACGCGGUGUUGCGGCGCCAGACACCCCCGUAUAUGCAAAGGUCAUGGAUCAAAGAGGGGUAACCCAAACUGCCUGUAGCUGGCUCGACUAGGAUGCGAAGAAUGCUGUUUUGAAUAACUCUGCCAACAUCAAUAGACUAGCCCUUCUGAAUAUCAAAAUUCAGUAAGGCCCAUUCCUUGGUGAUCUCGCUGGUGUUGCUACUGGGGAUCAGUUUGAAUGAUAUGAAGUGGUGCCAAAUUUUACAGUUAGGUAUCAGACCAGAGGAAGGGAAGUGAGUUACAUCACUAGCUGAUCUUUUCCAUUCAGUAUCGAGGCGAGCUAUAGUGCGAAUUAUCUCAUCGGGAUCGACCCCCUCAUCACGUAGUCGGGAAUAGUCAUCAUUGAGUAUAUCUCGCGUGUGGUAGAACCUAUUAAUUGAAGCACUGUCAAACUUGAUCCAAAAAUCCCGGAAAAAACUUCGAAGUUCUCGUGUUCA
This is a long non-coding RNA of Olea europaea var. sylvestris, 3600 nucleotides long. RefSeq lists it as uncharacterized. The record is from RefSeq and is a predicted model, not a curated record. The transcript has 2 exons. NCBI's taxonomy places the organism in Eukaryota, Viridiplantae, Streptophyta, Magnoliopsida, Lamiales, Oleaceae.